AUGGUAUGGACAGUCCCAUAGAUGAUCCUUGAAAUGCUCCAAAUCAUGAUAUAAAUUUUCAUUUUUCUUUUGUUUAAAGCACAUAAUCUCAUUGUGAACUUU
Molecule: non-coding RNA, 102 nt
Organism: Capsicum annuum
Lineage: Eukaryota; Viridiplantae; Streptophyta; Magnoliopsida; Solanales; Solanaceae
Source: Rfam